UGCUAACAUAGUUUAUAUAAAACAUAAUCCUGAAGAUAUUAAGAAGACGCCCUCUAUUAGCA
This 62-nucleotide transfer RNA is filed under the name Ramisyllis kingghidorahi. RNAcentral's name for it is "Ramisyllis sp. k GPS-2021 tRNA-Phe". The record is from RNAcentral. Lineage: Eukaryota; Metazoa; Annelida; Polychaeta; Phyllodocida; Syllidae.